UGCGUAGGUGGCCUGACAAGUCAGGGGUCAAAGGCAACGGCUCAACCGUUGUGAGCCCUUGAAACUGUCGGGCUUGAGUUCAGGAGAGGAAAGCGGAAUUCCUAGUGUAGCGGUGAAAUGCGUAGAUAUUAGGAGGAACACCAGUGGCGAAGGCGGCUUUCUGGACUGAUACUGACACUGAGGCACGAAAGCGUGGGGAGCAAACA
This 206-nucleotide ribosomal RNA is filed under the name uncultured Proteocatella sp. RNAcentral describes it as "partial 16S ribosomal RNA". It matches the Rfam family "Bacterial small subunit ribosomal RNA", at positions 568 to 774 of the family's 1533-position model. The record is from RNAcentral. Lineage: Bacteria; Bacillati; Bacillota; Clostridia; Peptostreptococcales; Filifactoraceae.